CUGAAUGUGGUUUACACUGAGAACAGUAAGGCAUGACUUUUUGUAGUUGUGCACAUAAUGCAAUCCCAUUGUCAUACAGGCUGCUUCUGGAGUUUUACUGAGGAACAUACUAUAGAUGUGUUUCAAUCACAGUGAAGGAGAGCUCUAGCUCAGUUAUGUUUUUAGAGACUAGAUCUGAGAUGACAAGAGGCUGGAGCAAGAGGAAGUGAAGCAGGAGCCUGGAGCUGAGGAGGAUUACUGCUUGGGUGGCAGAGAACAGUCCCAGGAGGAGACGGUGCUGGGAGCUCUGCUAACUGUCCACAGUUAACAGGAUUAGCUCCUCUGAAGAGUCACUUCCUCAACUCACCUGAGUGUAAGGAUGUGCCUUUGUCAUAGCUUUUCUGUUCUAUAUCCUUUCUGAUAGAAUCCAGACUCUUAUUUGUAGGAAGGGGAAUUUAUUCUGUUAAUCAUGGAAACUGUUAGUCACAGUUAAUUCCUACUUCUGUUGGCAUAAACCCUGGUGGCAGUCCCACUGGGCAGAAUAUUUGCCAACUGGGAAGUUGAAAUAUAAAAAAAACAGCUGCUGUUUUUCCUGUUAAAUAUGUGGACAUACUGCAGAACACAAACCGCAGUCUUGUUUUCCUUUCCCAGCAGAAAGCCUAAGAGUGUGUGAAAGCAUCAGUACUGCCUGACAUGACACAGAACAUACCUCCAUGAAAAUAUUGGAGGCUUAUUUAGGAUUCAAAGAUGCAUCUCAUAGCAUGUUUGGGUGGUCCAUGUAUGCAAUUUUAUUUUCUAGAUAAUGUUUAUGACCUCCUACACAAGAGCGAUCAGCAAUCAAAGAGGAAGAACUUUAUCCUGUGAUUCAAUGAAGUGUAGUGUUUUUACUUAAAUGUUGCUUAUUGGGUUUUGAAGGAGUGAAAAAAUGCAGAAAACUUGAGGAACAUAAGAUAUGUGACAUUACAGAGAGAAUAUUAGUCAGAAUACACGUUCCAUCCCUUCCAAGAGGGCUACUGAUUAGGAACUCCAAGAUUUACAGAGGUCUUGUGGUACUGAAAGUACUUAAGAGGACCCUUUCAAAACUAUACAUUGGCUUGUCAAUCAAUAGAUUGAUGGAGUGGAAGAAGUGGAGUCACAAAGAAAGCCAAAGAACCGGUGAAAGAAAAGGAAGGAGUAAAAAGGGGGGAGAAAGAAAGAAAUUGAAGAGAACAUGAAAUGCACUGCAUGUGAAAACCAGAAAAGAAGGAAGAAAAUUGGGGCACCAAAAAAAUGAGAACUCGAGCUGAGCAAAUACAUGGCAAGGUAUGGAAAGACUUUAAAUACAAUC
Molecule: long non-coding RNA, 1306 nt
Filed under: Anas platyrhynchos platyrhynchos (common mallard)
Lineage: Eukaryota; Metazoa; Chordata; Aves; Anseriformes; Anatidae
Description: lncRNA (ENSAPLG00000029240.1)
Source: RNAcentral